GGCUGAGUAGUGUGGCCUAUCCCAUCGAUGAGACUGCCAUCGAGAUUGCACCACCAUCGAUUGUUAGCUGUGUCAAGAUAGGAUAGCCGAUGGUCGACGACGUCAAUUUGAUGGAACAAUUGAGGUCAGUGAGAGAUCCUUCGAUUGUUGCUAGAGGCUGUAAACUACCUUCUAUUAGUAUCUUUCUUUGCUGCACGAAGGCAGCGAAUUGCUGAAUAUCUGCGAUGAUGACUGGAUGCAAAGAACUGGGCUCUAUCGAUGGAGGUGGGGG
This 271-nucleotide long non-coding RNA is filed under the name Elaeis guineensis (African oil palm). RNAcentral describes it as "long non-coding RNA (EGUI_LNC031640)". Lineage: Eukaryota; Viridiplantae; Streptophyta; Magnoliopsida; Arecales; Arecaceae. The record is from RNAcentral.